Molecule: ribosomal RNA, 385 nt
Filed under: uncultured bacterium
Lineage: Bacteria
Description: bacterial SSU rRNA
Rfam family: Bacterial small subunit ribosomal RNA
Source: RNAcentral
UGGGGAAUAUUGGACAAUGGGCGCAAGCCUGAUCCAGCCAUGCCGCGUGUGUGAAGAAGGCCUUAGGGUUGUAAAGCACUUUCAGUGGGGAGGAAGGGGUUGUUGUUAAUAGUAACAAUCUUUGACGUUACCCACAGAAGAAGCACCGGCUAACUCCGUGCCAGCAGCCGCGGUAAUACGGAGGGUGCAAGCGUUAAUCGGAAUUACUGGGCGUAAAGCGCACGCAGGCGGCUUUUUAAGUCGGAUGUGAAAGCCCCGGGCUCAACCUGGGAAUUGCAUUCGAUACUGGAAAGCUAGAGUAUGUGAGAGGGGGGUAGAAUUCCAAGUGUAGCGGUGAAAUGCGUAGAGAUUUGGAGGAAUACCAGUGGCGAAGGCGGCCCCCUGG